GAAGGAUGAGGACUCACUAUCAGAGACUUGUAGUGAGAAUAAAAUGCAUUAUUUUGACCAAGUUUUCUGAAACAAGUUUUGAAUGGAAAUUUAAGUCACUCUCCAAAAUUCCAUUCCAAAACAAAUUGGAAUUGGGGAGCCGCACAAGACAAGCACGUGGGUUGGUGAUUUUUGGAGGCAUUCUUUGUGAACGCCUACACAGAAUUCUCUGGGGACAAUCUAUCGCUGUCCGGUGAGCCGGCUCUGUCGUUUUGUUAAGGAAAGUUCAAUGUUUUGAAACUGGAUUGGGUCUUGACUCGGUCAAGGGCCCAAUCCGAUUCGUUCCCGGUCCGUUCAAUCAGUUCAGAACAUUGUUGAUAUAUAUUCUUUUUAUAAUAUUUAAAGAAAAUUAAACCAAAAAUAAAAAAAUGUAUAACUAUAUAGAA
Long non-coding RNA from Mangifera indica (mango), 425 nucleotides. RefSeq lists it as uncharacterized. The record is from RefSeq and is a predicted model, not a curated record. Lineage: Eukaryota; Viridiplantae; Streptophyta; Magnoliopsida; Sapindales; Anacardiaceae. The transcript has 2 exons.